Caenorhabditis elegans is the source of this 196-nucleotide non-coding RNA. The record is from Ensembl. NCBI's taxonomy places the organism in Eukaryota, Metazoa, Nematoda, Chromadorea, Rhabditida, Rhabditidae.
CAGGGGAACAUCAUCGCGAUUCGGAAGAUUUUUGACGUCAGUCACGCAGGCAGCAGCAGCCUCACCCAACACCAAUCAAACUUUUUAUAAGCUCUGCUCUCUUUGGCCAGCUUCAAUGGCAAACGCAUCACUUGCAUACUUCCAACCGAUUUCUACCCAUUUUAUGAGUCGUUUACUGGCUCUGAUGGGAGGCCUU